Monomorium pharaonis (pharaoh ant) is the source of this 205-nucleotide long non-coding RNA. RefSeq lists it as uncharacterized. NCBI's taxonomy places the organism in Eukaryota, Metazoa, Arthropoda, Insecta, Hymenoptera, Formicidae. The record is from RefSeq and is a predicted model, not a curated record. The transcript is spliced from 2 exons.
AUUUCUUUUUUAUUUUUAGGUGCUGCUGCUGCCGUCGCUGGUUUACUCAGGAUUCCCCAGGUCACCAGGUUCUAUCAGGAAUACGCUCAGGUUAUCCCAGGAUAUGACGUCUCAGAUCACAUGCAGGUAAGUACUUGGUAAGUAGGUCAACAACAGUCUGUUCGUAUUGUGUUUUCAAAACACAAAAUAAAAUUCAUUCCAAACC